Non-coding RNA from Oryctolagus cuniculus (rabbit), 880 nucleotides. The record is from RefSeq and is a predicted model, not a curated record. NCBI's taxonomy places the organism in Eukaryota, Metazoa, Chordata, Mammalia, Lagomorpha, Leporidae.
GUGCCUUUACAACUGUCAUGUCUUCUUGGUGAAGUAAUACUCCUUCACCACUAUGUGGCAUUCCUCUUUGUUCCCAAUGAGUUUCUUCCUCUGAAGUCUACUUCAAUAUUUACAGAAUUAUUUCUUCUCGGCCUCAUCAGAUCCCAAAAUCAAAAGAGUCACCUAAAUGGACUGCAAACUUCCAAAACACAUGAGCCAAAAUAAGCUUUCUUCCUCUUAAGAAAGUCUCUUCUCAGGCUAAGGUAUGGGAAGCUUUCUGGAUUCACUAGCCCCAGGAAAUGCAAGUGCUGUUUUCUGGAUGCUUUUCAUUUGUGAGGGAGCUGAACAAGAAUCUAUUACAUUCUAUUGUAAAGGAUGAGGAGUGAUCUCUCAAGAGAAUGGGGUAAAUGUUGGUUUACAUCCACCAGGAUGGAGGACAGAGAAAGAUAAUGAUAAUGUAGAUGAUAAUGUAGACCACUGUGCAGAAUGAGGAUCUCCAUUUAGCCUUUCUUUGGGAAAUAAAGUCAUGCUCAAGGUAAGCUGUUAAUAGAAGUUAUCUCUUCUAAUGUACCUUAUUCUCAGUGUUCCAUGGAAGAUACCUUGGGACAGUGAAACAACACGGACCUUAAAUGCUGUCAUAGCUACUCAUUGCAGUGCAAUAUUGGAAAAGUCAUUUCAUCUCUGUAGGUCUUGAUUCUCCCAAUUCUGAACUGUGAAUAAUUAUCAUGACAUAAAUUUAUAGGAUGACAUGAUAUAAUAAUAUGAAGAUGUGAGAUAAUGUGAAAAUAUCUAGUGUUUGACACUUACUGAGUAGUAAAAAUGGUCUUAUAUUUCCUUUUUAGGUUGCAUUUGUUUUCUUUCUAGGAUUCUUGCUAGUAAGGGAGUGAUGGUAGAAACAGUA